Molecule: ribosomal RNA, 443 nt
Filed under: uncultured bacterium
Lineage: Bacteria
Description: partial 16S ribosomal RNA
Rfam family: Bacterial small subunit ribosomal RNA
Source: RNAcentral
CCUACGGGAGGCAGCAGUGGGGAAUAUUGGACAAUGGGGGGAACCCUGAUCCAGCGACGCCGCGUGAGUGAAGAAGUAUUUCGGUAUGUAAAGCUCUAUCAGCAGGGAAGAAAGAAAUGACGGUACCUGACUAAGAAGCCCCGGCUAACUACGUGCCAGCAGCCGCGGUAAGACGUAGGGGGCAAGCGUUAUCCGGAUUUACUGGGGGUAAAGGGAGCGUAGACGGCGAUGCAAGUCUGAAGUGAAAGGCGGGGGCCCAACCCCUGGACUGCUUUGGAAACUGUAUGGCUGGAGUGCAGGAGAGGGAAGUGGAAUUCCUAGUGUAGCGGUGAAAUGCGUAGAUAUUAGGAGGAACACCAGUGGCGAAGGCGGCUUACUGGACUGUAACUGACGUUGAGGCUCGAAAGCGUGGGGAGCAAACAGGAGUAGAUACCCCUGUAGUC